CCUACGGGAAGCAGCAGUGGGGAAUAUUGCACAAUGGGGGAAACCCUGAUGCAGCGACGCCGCGUGAGUGAAGAAGUAUUUCGGUAUGUAAAGCUCUAUCAGCAGGGAAGAUAAUGACGGUACCUGAGUAAGAAGCCCCGGCUAACUACGUGACAGCAGCCGCGGGAAUACGUAGGGGGCAAGCGUUAUCCGGAUUUACUGGGUGUAAAGGGAGCGUAGACGGCAUGGAAAGUCUGAAGUGAAAGCCCUGGGCUCACACGCGGGACUGCUUUGGAAACUGUUAAGCUGGAGUACAGGCGAGGUAAGUGGAAUUACUAAUGUAGCGGUGAAAUGCGUAGAUAUUAGGAGGAACACCAGUGGCGAAGGCAGCUUACUGGACUGUAACUGACGUUGAGGCUCGAAAGCGUGGGGAGCAAACAGGAGUAGAUACCCCAGUAGUC
RNAcentral lists this ribosomal RNA (440 nucleotides) under uncultured bacterium. RNAcentral describes it as "partial 16S ribosomal RNA". It matches the Rfam family "Bacterial small subunit ribosomal RNA", at positions 338 to 795 of the family's 1533-position model. The record is from RNAcentral.